UCGUCAAGGUUGCGAUGCUAAACACGUUUAUGCCAAAAUAAACAGUUUUC
Molecule: non-coding RNA, 50 nt
Organism: Caenorhabditis elegans
Lineage: Eukaryota; Metazoa; Nematoda; Chromadorea; Rhabditida; Rhabditidae
Source: Ensembl